This 388-nucleotide ribosomal RNA is filed under the name uncultured bacterium. RNAcentral's name for it is "bacterial SSU rRNA". It matches the Rfam family "Bacterial small subunit ribosomal RNA", at positions 28 to 417 of the family's 1533-position model. The record is from RNAcentral.
GACGAACGCUGGCGGCGUGCUUAACACAUGCAAGUCGAGCGGUAAGGCCCUUUCGGGGGUACACGAGCGGCGAACGGGUGAGUAACACGUGGGUGACCUGCCCUCAGCCCUGGGAUAAGCCUGGGAAACUGGGUCUAAUACUGGAUAUGACUCCACGGUGCAUGUCGUGGGGUGGAAAGCCUUGUGCGGCUGAGGAUGGGCCCGCGGCCUAUCAGCUUGUUGGUGGGGUGANGGCCUACCAAGGCGACGACGGGUAGCCGGCCUGAGAGGGCGACCGGCCACACUGGGACUGAGACACGGCCCAGACUCCUACGGGAGGCAGCAGUGGGGAAUCUUGCGUAAUGGGCGAAAGCCUGACGCAGCGACGCCGCGUGAGGGAUGACGGCCU